GUUGAACGCUGGCGGCGGGCCUAAUACAUGCAAGUCGAGCGGACAGAGGAAGAGGUUUCCUGUCUUGCGUUAGCGGCGCGCAGGGGAGUAACACGUCGAUAACCCACCUAUAUGACUGGGAUAACCUCCUGAAACCGGAGCUAAUACCGGCUAAACUACUCAACCGCAUGGUUCAGUAGUUAAGGGCGGCUUUGCUGUCACUUAUAGAUGGUUCCGCGCGGGAUUAGCUAGUUGGUAAGGUAACGGCUUACCAAGGCAACGAUGCGUAGCCGACCUGAGAGGAUGAUCGGCCACACUGGAACUGAGACACGGUCCAGACUCCUACGGGAGGCAGCAGUAGGGAAUAUUGCACAAUGGGCGAAAGCCUGACGGAGCCACGCCGCGUGAGUGAUGAAGGUCUUCGGAUCGUAAAGCUCUUUUAUUAGGGAGGAACGGAGUAGUAAGUAAACCUGCACGCAUUGACGUUACCCAAAGAGGAAGCCACGGCUAACUACGUG
RNAcentral lists this ribosomal RNA (497 nucleotides) under uncultured bacterium. RNAcentral describes it as "partial 16S ribosomal RNA". It matches the Rfam family "Bacterial small subunit ribosomal RNA", at positions 28 to 507 of the family's 1533-position model. The record is from RNAcentral.